RNAcentral lists this ribosomal RNA (1494 nucleotides) under Triticum aestivum (bread wheat). Its description in RNAcentral is "partial small subunit ribosomal RNA". Lineage: Eukaryota; Viridiplantae; Streptophyta; Magnoliopsida; Poales; Poaceae. The record is from RNAcentral.
CAUGGUUGAGUCAAGAUUUACAACAUACUGUUCGUGUUCCCCUAAAAACGUCGCCUCCAUCUACUACAUCAUCCGUUCAAACCUGUCACAAAUUUCCCUAAUGCCACGUUAGCCUACCGGCGAGAGGAAGUACUACAACCUAUGCGGUAGUGUCGAUGGUUACUCGGGUUGAAAAGGAAACGUCGUGGAUCGUACCUACUUACAGCACCUUUUCUCGUACUACGAGUUCGACUUUUACGGCCGUAACUACGAGUUCGAGUUCGACUUCGACGUUGUGGAUCGUACUUGUUCCUACUUCAGUCACCCCUCGACUUUUUCUUGGUUCUUCAACGUUGUCUCUGACGACUUUGAGUACUCUUUGUUUCUCACUCAAAACUCUACCUUCCGUUACAGAGUGGAGUAUCGGGGGGUGAGAAGGUACUACGUGGCUCUUCACGCUGUCGACCCUAAACCCAGCUACUCGGUAGUACACUCGACAAGGGUUUCCCAAGUCUUCUGAUACUCAACUACGUAACGUCCCUACUCGGAUGUUUGUUCUUCUCGUGUAAAUCGGGGUAGAUACGGUUGUAGUGACACAAAGGACAUAGUCUGCUACUACUGUUGGGUUGACGAUGCUACCAGCGAUGUCUUCCGUUUAACAACUACAUUCGUCGCCGGGUUCGUGUGUACUGUUCUUGUGAUCCUUCUUCUCCUACCGAUUUCAGGGCCGACAUUUUUUAUGGUUCCGUUUCUUCGUCUUCCAGCUACUUGUUCUACUUCAACGUCGAUACAUACUCUUCAUAUAAUUCGUACCCUUUGGUAACUCCUCUUGUCAAGGGUUACUUGUUAACUGUGGAAAGCGGUUCUAUCCACCUAAAAAGUAACCUAUGUUCUUUAAGGAGUAUACGAAGUUCGGGGCGCCCCUAUGCUUACUACUCCAAUACAGUGAUACAUAGCUCUACAUGUUGGAGCGUAGAGUACGUUUUUCGUUAUCCCAACACUUCUUUAUUUACAAGAAUCAGAUGCUCCGCCAAGAUGAUUUUAUUCUGGGUAGUUGGAAGGUUGGUAGUCAAGAGUACGGACUCGAACUUUCCCGACAGUUUUUCAUGUUCUAAGUUUUUAAACUGGAGCAUUCAAAGCGUACUCGGAAAAAACAAAGUAUGGUGUUUAUGAAAGUUUAUACAUAGGCUACUACGCUCCGCUGAUUGUAAAAAAUACAAGAUUCAGGGAAACGUAAGAAAACAUAAAAGGUAGAGAAAAAGUGUUAACAAGUACUCGCGGUAACCUAUCAGCAAACGCGUUUGAACUAAGUGUUCGUUACCUUACAUAAACUGAGUUAGUUACGUUUUCCCUUUCGUAGAGGAAACUUCUUCGUCCGGUUAUUGGACUAGUGUUUGAAACGUUGAGAGUGUGUUUUCACACUACUUAAGUUACAGUUACAACGUGGGAAGGGGCACAACUGGAGCUCCUGAUGAGUUUAGUCUUAUUGGACAGUCAAAAGAAAAAAGAAGAUGA